AGCGGGCGGCCCCGGGGAGCGCGGGGAAGGGGAGGGAGCAGGGGGCUGAAGCGCCCCUCGCCCCGCUGGCGUCGCGCGCGCCUUCCUGAGGGGCAGGGGAGGGAGGAGGGAAACAGCCCCUGCCCGGCGGCGGCGGCCGAGCUCGGCAGGAGGAACAGAGUCAGCCAGAAACCCUGACAAGACAGACAGGAGCGUCCAUGCUCCUGGUCCAAAUAACCAAACGGGGAGGAGAGCUGCGAACACUGAAGCACCCCAGAUCUCCAGGCAUCUCCAAGACUCCGGAAAGGGCCUUUUUCUGAGGGAGCUGAAGGUCCGUGCCGAGUGCGGCUCCGGAGGCUUGUAGCGGUGGGUCAGGGAGCAGCUCUGCCUUGCCCCGCGCCACGGAGCAGGGCGCGAUGCACGUGCGAAGUCCUCCAGCACGACGCCUGCGCUGGGGAAACCUUCAGUCUGCGGUGUGCAGGGCGCGCCCCGACCUUCCCGUGAACAGGGCUUGAGGCUUGGCAGAGGGGAGAGAAAAAAGUCUAAAUAUCCUUUCUUUUCUGCCCUUUCGUCUUGUGGCUGCAGCUCAGCUGAGGAGGAAACAGUUAUUGUCAAUAAAGUCUCAGUUACAACUGC
This is a long non-coding RNA of Dromaius novaehollandiae (emu), 615 nucleotides long. RefSeq lists it as uncharacterized. The record is from RefSeq and is a predicted model, not a curated record. The transcript is spliced from 2 exons. NCBI's taxonomy places the organism in Eukaryota, Metazoa, Chordata, Aves, Casuariiformes, Dromaiidae.